This 243-nucleotide long non-coding RNA is filed under the name Dasypus novemcinctus (nine-banded armadillo). RNAcentral describes it as "lncRNA (ENSDNOG00000050843.1)". Lineage: Eukaryota; Metazoa; Chordata; Mammalia; Cingulata; Dasypodidae. The record is from RNAcentral.
AGUCCAGUCCGAGGGGCCUGUCUCAUCCCCUUCCCCAUCCCCACCCUCGAGUUCAAUGGAGAAAACAGGACCACUGCCUUAGAGGUCUCAAAGAGGGUCAAGGAUUUAUUGUUCACUGCCUUCACCAGCGAGCACAAAGCCACAUUUCAAAGGAGACUGACAAAUUAGCCCCAGCUGCCAGAAAGAGGUUAGUUUUCUCUGUGUUGUGUCCCCCUUCCCUGAUAACCAACAGGUUAACUUUCU